UAGCAGGUACUCAGAAAAUUUUGGAU
RNAcentral lists this non-coding RNA (26 nucleotides) under Mus musculus (house mouse). The record is from RNAcentral. Lineage: Eukaryota; Metazoa; Chordata; Mammalia; Rodentia; Muridae.